Molecule: ribosomal RNA, 468 nt
Filed under: uncultured bacterium
Lineage: Bacteria
Description: partial 16S ribosomal RNA
Rfam family: Bacterial small subunit ribosomal RNA
Source: RNAcentral
GACGAACGCUGGCGGCGUGCUUAACACAUGCAAGUCGAACGGAAAGGCCCUGCUUUUGUGGGGUGCUCGAGUGGCGAACGGGUGAGUAACACGUGAGUAACCUGCCCUUGACUUUGGGAUAACUUCAGGAAACUGGGGCUAAUACCGGAUAGGAGCUCCUGCUGCAUGGUGGGGGUUGGAAAGUUUCGGCGGUUGGGGAUGGACUCGCGGCUUAUCAGCUUGUUGGUGGGGUAGUGGCUUACCAAGGCUUUGACGGGUAGCCGGCCUGAGAGGGUGACCGGCCACAUUGGGACUGAGGUACGGCCCAGACUCCUACGGGAGGCAUCAGUGGGAAAUAUUGCACAAUGGGCGGAAGCCUGAUGCAGCAACGCCGCGUGCGGGAUGACGGCCUUCGGGUUGUAAACCGCUUUCGCCUGUGACGAAGCGUGAGUGACGGUAAUGGGUAAAGAAGCACCGGCUAACUACGUG